Passer domesticus (house sparrow) is the source of this 312-nucleotide long non-coding RNA. RefSeq lists it as uncharacterized. Lineage: Eukaryota; Metazoa; Chordata; Aves; Passeriformes; Passeridae. The record is from RefSeq and is a predicted model, not a curated record. The transcript has 3 exons.
GUUUGCACCUGCACACAUGCUGAUACAGCCCAGCCACCCUGGAGUCACGUCUAGCACUCUCUCUGGGUUAUCUUGCACAGGUGUGGCAUUAGCAAGGAUUGCUGUUCUCCAACAGCUGUCAGAUCUUGUGUUAAGCUUUAGGAAGUUUACUAUUUUCACCAUGGAAGGAAAUGAGCCACCACAAAAGAGGUCAUCUGAUAGCAUCCUAUUCUUUCCCUUCUUCCUUCUGCCCCUAGAAUGCAAGUUUCUUCAAAACGGACCUAUCCUGCUACGCCAGACCACCGCCUGACGAGCCGCCUCAGGAGGAUGGGC